RNAcentral lists this ribosomal RNA (204 nucleotides) under Triticum aestivum (bread wheat). RNAcentral describes it as "partial small subunit ribosomal RNA". The record is from RNAcentral. Lineage: Eukaryota; Viridiplantae; Streptophyta; Magnoliopsida; Poales; Poaceae.
AUGCACAAAGGUAGAUUUGAAACUACUCAAGAUCGGUUGCGGAAGAGGCUUGUGGAUUGGAGUGAGCAAUAUAUGUCCUCGGGCAAUAAAGAGAUUCUCAUCAAGGCCGUUGCCCAAGCCAUUCCUACUUAUGUGAUGAGCGUGUUCAAGCUUCCUGCAUCGGUUUGUGACGAUCUUGUUAGAAUUAAUGGGCUAGGCCCAUAG